Long non-coding RNA from Ficedula albicollis (Collared flycatcher), 1710 nucleotides. RefSeq lists it as uncharacterized. Lineage: Eukaryota; Metazoa; Chordata; Aves; Passeriformes; Muscicapidae. The transcript is spliced from 3 exons. The record is from RefSeq and is a predicted model, not a curated record.
UCCGGCGCCCGCCCCGGCGCGGCGCCCCGCGCUGGAGGUGGCCCGGCCAGGGACGGUUGUUCCCCGCGCCGGCCGCCGGCAUGGACCCCGGAGCGGCGGCAUCUUUCCUGCCCCCAUACGGGUGUGGGGACCCCAGGGCCUGGCUGAGGUGUGGGAAUCACUCCCGCCUCGCAGGGUGCUGGCCUGUGGGACCCCUGGACUUCCCGAGGGUGAUUAACCCAAAAGGGCGAAGUUUUACCAAGAAAGGCCUCCGAAAAGACACAAAGAGGAGUUGGGCGAUGCUUUGUCAAACUAUGCGUUUUGCAUCACAGCAAGGGCAGAUUUCAGCCGUGUUGGGAGCAGCAACUGCUGUGUCCCAGCAGAGGAAAUGAGGGACAGAACUUUUCCUAGGGUUAGAGAUAGCGACAACUUUCCAUUGGGUCUUCGUUCACACCCGUGAUUAAGACCAUUUUGAAGCACUGCGUUUUUGUCUCACCCAGUGUUGGAUAUUCUGCCAUUAUCUGAAAAGGGCCAUUAUUUGGACUUUGUGUUUCAUUAAUUGUUUAAGACAGUUUGAAUUUGAUACUGGUGCCUGUAAUAGCAUCACAUAACAAGGUCACAUGCCAACCAGUUCAGGCCAAACAGCAAGCCUUGGCCUCAAGCCCCAGGUAAGAGUACUGUAUCUUCAGGCUGCAGGGAUCCUUCCACACCUAUCACUGCUUUGUUCUGGGCUACUUUUCACUUAGAGAGAAGGAAAAAACCAGACAUUCAAACCAGAAACCAGGAUUUUUUAAAAGAGUAGUGAAAGUUGUUUUUAUUGUGAUGUGUAAGUAACAUACGUGGGACAGAACCACGUGUAAAAGAAAUCUACCAGAAGAUGGGUCCAUGAACUCAUCGCUAAAGUAACUAUUUCUCUUCACAAAAUGAUACAAAAAUUACUAUCUGAAGAACACUGGAAAGAGAAGGACUGCUGAAAACUAAGCACUGUUUGAAGUAAUUUUCUCAAUCAAUGUCAGCAGACACCUGCUCUAAAAUAAUUUGUACCUCAGGGAUGUCAAGGAUGGAACCCAUAAAACCCUUCUUUAAAAAGAGAUGUUAGGUCACUUGUAUAACUUCAAAGAUGAGAACAGCUCUGCUUGGGGUAAUCAUAAUGGUCAUCUUCAGGCUUGAUGAGUCCAGCACUUGUCACUGCAUUACAGCUACAUUUGCUGAGUAUUUCAGCUACAGCAACCAGAAUAGCCCAGCAGCGCAGCAGUCACACCCAAGAACAAAGACAUAGAGACAAAGCUUGUUGAUUGGCACCAUGAGUAACUGAUGCUGACAGCAAAGGAUUAUAAAUUAGAUGUGAGAAGAAGAAUGGGGGAGAUGCAGCUACACACACCUUGUUCCAUGACCUGAAACACAGCUUGUGGGAGAGAGGAACUCAGGCAGUGAACCAGCCUACAAACUCCCUGUUACCAGCACUGAAGCAUGAACAAGGAACAACUCUUCGUUGCCCAGUGAAGUGCCCACUGUCAGUUUGGACAAUUAAAUAAUUGGUACGGCUUCUUUAAAACUUCUGCAAGCUGAUAACAGAUUGUUCUCAGCUGAAAACAGACACUUCAGUCACAAAUUAACCAACGGCAUUUGGACCUGUUACACUGACAGCUAAAAUUAAAUCCUUACGCAAGCCUGUGGAUUCCAUCCGUGAAGCUGUGUUUACUGUAUCUCCAAAUAAACAGUAACGAGGCA